This 232-nucleotide ribosomal RNA is filed under the name uncultured bacterium. RNAcentral's name for it is "partial 16S ribosomal RNA". It matches the Rfam family "Bacterial small subunit ribosomal RNA", at positions 99 to 334 of the family's 1533-position model. The record is from RNAcentral.
CGGACGGGUGAGUAAUGUAUAGGAACUUGCCUAGUAGUGGGGGACAACGUGUGGAAACGCACGCUAAUACCGCAUACGCUCUACGGAGGAAAGCGGGGGAUCUUCGGACCUCGUGCUACUAGAUGGGCCUAUAUUGGAUUAGCUAGUUGGUAGGGUAAAGGCUUACCAAGGCGACGAUCCAUAGCUGGUUUGAGAGAAUGAUCAGCCACACUGGGACUGAGACACGGCCCAG